Molecule: long non-coding RNA, 13553 nt
Organism: Balaenoptera ricei (Rice's whale)
Lineage: Eukaryota; Metazoa; Chordata; Mammalia; Artiodactyla; Balaenopteridae
Exons: 2
Source: RefSeq, a predicted model, not a curated record
CUCAGUGUCCAAUUUAUAUCCGAUUUUGUUUGGUAUGGUAUGGAGGAAAAAAAAUCCUGAUUUUUAUCUGUAUAAGUGGAAAUAGUCAUAGAUUGUCUGCAAUCUCUAGUUAUGGACAAAACUAGAUACUUGAAAAGAAAAAGAGGAAUAUCCAAUACCUGCUUUCAGCCCUUAUCCUCCAUAUAUCAGGUGAGAAACACACAAAGGUUAUAAUCACUAAAAUUGUACUAUGGUGAGAGCCAUAGCACUGAGUUUGCAGCUGGGUGUGGCAAUCCCAGCACCAGGCUUGCACCUUCUGCAUCAGUGACCCCUGAGAAGCCCACACAAGCACAAUAAUGGAGGCCUUACCUAAGGUCUCAGGCAGCCUAAGCAACGCAUGUUUUACAUCUGAGUGUACGUGUUACGGACGACUUUUAAUAUUUAAGAUGACACUUGAAGCGAAUGUUUGCAGGGAACCUCUGAAGCACUGCCACAAGAGCCAGUUUCAAAACCACUCGUUUAGUGGAAAGAACCUGGGGUUUCUGAGCCCACAAACUUGGGCUGGAAUCCAGCCCCGCAGCGCCAGCUGAGUUGCCCGUGGGUGGUGAGGAACUGAGCAUUUCCUUAUCUAGAGCAGAGCACUGGCCACAAAGAGGGGGUUGACGGUGAGUGCCUAGAAAGCGCUCCCCUUUCCACCGUCCAUAAAAUGAGGUGACAUUUCUGUCUGGCUGCUGGUGGACAUUCUGAAUGGUCAGAGCCAGACAGGGCUUUUGUCCCACCAUGUAUUAAAACUAGAAGACGACUGGCCCUGCCCUGGGUCUUCCACCUCACAGAGGUAACAUUCUGAUCUGAGUUAAAAUAAAUUGCAAGUUUAUCACUACUCAAAGACUUUAAAGUUCAUAUAUGAACUUAAAAUAUAUUUUUUUAAUGGAUGCAAGUCUGCAGGUGCACUGCUGCUUUAAAAUCCUAUAAAAGCAAUGGGAAAGGAGGCCAAGAGAAAGAAACUGCUUGUUGGGGUUGGGGUGGCAUCUAAGAACUCUGAGUCCUGUGGAGACUGAUGUGGCCUCACUUUGCUGAACAGGUGAUGAGUUUUAGGUUCCUGACUGAAGACUGACCAAGCCAUAAGAUAUGCAGACCAGCCAGCUCUCCAGGCUGAGGAGCAGGGGAGGUAGAGCGAGGUGGGCCUUACCUCUGCACAGCAUGGAUGUCUAAGGCACGGGCCUGGGCCAGGUUGUGUUCACUACCUGGCAGGCGAGCCCAAGGUUGGAAAAGGAGUGAAGACCUUGCCUUCAGCUCGUCCUCCUUUCAUCUCCAAUGCCAAAGGAGCCCAUGGUGGCUGAACAUAUUUAAGGCUUCGUCAUCCAAAUUAAAACAGAUGUGAGUUAAUUAUAAAUGGUUCCCCUACUGUAUUUUGCCCAUUGGAAAAUCAGUCCCUAGAACUAGAGGUUCUUUCAGGUCACCCAGAAGAUUCUGGUACUUGCUGGCACAUACUCUACUGGGGCGGCUCCCAAGUUUGAAGUCCCUGUCAGCCCUUGGGACCUGACCUGGGUAGCAUAAUUCUUUCUAUUCUUUCAUUUGAGUUGAUAAACCAGCCAACUGCUGCCUCAGACUUCUGCCCCCCCAACACGUUCUCGGGUGUCCCCAAGGACUAUCCAUACCUGCUGCCUCUUCUGCCUCUGCAGUUGGCCUUCGAGGCUGCGCCAGACCAUCCUUUCCCUGAGCCUAUGUUGGCAUUGGUGUUCCUGAGGUUCAGUUCUCUGCCCUCCUUCCACACAUGCUUCCCUGGAAAUUUAUAAAUCAGGGUACUUAAAAUGGAGACACUUUAACAACAGUUCCAUAUGAGUCUCUGCCAGAAAUGCAGCGAAGUCAUCCUUCCCCAGGGGCUUGGAGAAACUGCUAAGGCAUCAGGUGUGCCCACCUGAGCCAGUGUGCAAGGCCACCUCACAUGAACACCCUUCCACCCGCCCUGUGCAGCUCUGAGGCAUUAACUUGGGGACUGGUUCUCAUGGGCCUGAGGACUGCUUGCCCAGUCGAAAGGAGGGCUGAACCAAAAGGCCUGCAGCACGGGCUUUGCCUUUUGUCCUCUGUGUGCAGGAUCUAAAGUGCUAGGAUGUCAGCAUUUCCUUCCCAGUCAGCCUGGAGCAGGUGUGAACACUGAUGUCACUUUCCCAUCCUCUCCCCCAAGCCCAGCUAGGAAGUUAACCUCCUCUUUGCAGACUGUAGUUGAAUUCCUCCCCCAAACCCCCACCCGCCUUCCCUGGAACUGUCUGUUUAGGAAGCUCAGUCAUAGGAAGUUCUGAGCCACACCAGGCAGGAAUGAACCAUGGCAGCUAAAGCCACUGCACAGGGAUCCUGUGUGCUGUUAGAUGGGAGUAGGAAGGGGAUAGCGGGGAGGUAGAGGGACAGCGGCAGAGGCCCUUGCCUCUCCUUACCCGGACACCCCGUAUCACCCUUGCCCCUCAUGUCCUCCACGUAGCCCUGCCCUCCAAAGCCCUCCGGACUUUUGGAGAUCACUAACAAUGCCUGAAAAGCUGAGGACAACGGCCUGGGUGUCUGAAGUCACCUGGUUACCCCUCAUUUCUGGGGACCCUAACUGAGGCCUCAGCCAUAGAGUCUUUGCUUCUGACAGCUCUAGAUAUACCAGGUGACUCAUUCAUUUAACAACUAAUGAGACCCAUGGUUCUGCACAGGCUUCUUUGGUGACUUAGACGCAUCCCUACCCCAAGUCCCAUGAGAAAACAUGGCAUUUCUGUGUCUAGCACUGUUUGCUCUCAAGAAUGUGUUGUCUGUUAGGGAAGAUUGGGCAGAUAAAUAAAGGACUCUCAUUAUCCAGAAAGAACUGAGACCUGAAAAGCCCUUUUACAGUUAACCCACUGUAAACGGAGACCAGAGUUUCACACAGUAAAUAGUGAAAAAGGCUUGAUUGGAACAAGUAUUUGUUAGCAAAACGUAGUUGCAACUAUGGGCUAAUUCUUAGAAAAAGAAUAUUUUACAUAUAUUUCCCUCCUAAAGUUACCCGAUUGUACAACAGGACAUCAUUUCAUGUUUGAUUCCCAUAGUGCAAUCAACAGGGUUGUUUUUGCAAAAGUUAGUCAAGGGCCUUCACCAGUUUUCCAGAGGGCUUCUCUUAACCCCUUAGCCUUCUGAUAGUUAAACUCCCCCCUGUGCAGCUCUUCUCCUCACUUGUUAGUGGACCUCAUUCUCAGUCCUCAUUUGCCAGGGACUAUAUUCAUUUGAUAAGUGGCAGCAGACACUCCAUCAGGUGGCAAGGCAACUCUUAGCCCAAGAAGCCAGAGCUGGGUGUCUGCCUAGGCACAUGCCUGUGUGUGCGUAGCUCUGUGCUGCCCUGACCCAGAGACUGUGGGACCUGUGUUCUAGCCCCUUCAUUGAUGAUUUAGGGUGUAGCCUUGACCACUCUGCUCUGCUUUAAUUUCUCCUCUGUGGGGAAGUUUGUCUAGUCAACCCACAAAGCUGUUGAGGAUCCAAUGAGGAAAUCAUGUUUUACAAAGUCUAGUUGCCCUGCAGCGUGAGGGGUAGCAUCCUGCAAAGCCCAUACUUGAACUUAUGCUCUGCCUGAGGCCCCCACCUUACCUGCUUUCACACAUCAUCCAGAGUUGGAAGCGGCAGGAGCCCUUCUUGUUUCCCAGGCAGCCGUACUGCUCCAAGGCAACAGAACUUCUCUUCUCACCUGUACCUGCUCAGUUGGAGGGAGGAGGGAAACAUGUCAGGUCUUUCAGGGGUGAUAGGGACUCGGGCCAUCUCCAGCCAAGAUGGUCCCCAAGGUGAAAUACUUAAGAUCCAGCCACUUAAGUGGGUGGAGUGUUACCAGGGACAGGUUCUCUGGCUGGGGUGGGAGCUCUGCCCGGGGCUGCUGGGAGUCUCCGAGAGAUGGGCUCCAUGGGGUGGCCUCGCUUCCAGGGCAGAUGAGGGCUGGGCAAGCAGUCAGCCGUGCUGGCCCCUUCCCUUCGGGGCUCUGCCGCCUUACCUCCAUUCUGGUCAGUGUCUGGAUGGGCAGUGGUGAUCCCUGAACUUCCCAAACACAAAUCUCUUGAUGUCUGCCCAUCCUGAGACAGGAGAGGCGCCAGAGGUGACUCCCUGGCCAGUCUGUGGUGUUGCCUCUGUCCCCCUAGGGCAAUAUUUUGCUAUCAGCUUCCCUGCCUGGCUUUCUCUCUAGGCAUGCAGAGCCGGCCCUGCACCCCAUGGGGAGCAGAGAAGUGGGCUCAGGCAGCAGGUCCAGAAGGUGGAGGAGUUGAACUCCUGCCUGCUAAACCACAUGACCAUGGCCUUCAGCAGGCAGAACACUUGCCCUCAGAGGGGAAUUGCACUCCUCUAGUCUCUGAGUAGGAGCAAACUUUCAAAGGAGCCCUCUGGCACCCUUUCCUCCACGGUGCCGUCAGCCCCACUCUGUACUUCCACAGCCCUAUCUGACCUGAGAGUCCCUCCUACUUGCCCUGCCCCCGUGCCCAGAGCUCCUCCUGCCUCUCCCCCUCCUUUCCCUUCUGCUCCAAACUCCCCUUGCUUCUGCAAGUCAUCCAGGACAGCCUCACACUAAGGCAAUGAAAAUACACAAGCCAGAAACAGCACAAAUGUCCAUGAACAGGGCAAGGAAUAAACAGUUUGUGAAACAUUCAUCUACAAGAUCUAACACAGCAAUGAAUGAAUAAACUAGUUACACAUACAAACACAGAUGAAUCUCACAUAAUACUGAAUAGAAAAAAGAACAAAAUUAUGUGCUGUAUGAUUCCAUUCUUUAAAAGUUCAAAACCAGGCAAAAGUAUUAUUUCAGGUGCCAAGGUAUGGUAACUACAAAAGCCAGGGCCCUGGUCAUCUCUAGGGGUUGGAGCGAGCAGGUUGGGGAGGGUAAGUGGGCUUCCAGAGUGCUGGAGAUGAUUUAGGUACUGAUCAGAGUGGUGGGUUUCAUGAAUGCUCAUCUGAUAACUCAUCAGCCUCUACAGAUUUAUUUAAAAAAUUUUUUAACAUCUUUAUUGGAGUAUAAACUACAGAUUUUUAAUGUACUUUUCUAUGUAUAUGUUAUUUCACAAAGUUCAAAAAACAAAAAACCCAGCCCCUCCACCUUGGGCUUCUCAGGGCAUCAGCCCCUUGGUGUGCAUACCUCUCAUGCAAUUGAUUGGCCUCAGUGGGGAAUAUCUAGUGGGGAGCUGUCAAGGCCUGAGGAGAAAGGGGUUGGCCCAACUACUCAGGUGGCCCUGGGUCAGUGAAUGGGGGCCACCUUCAUUCCUUCUCCAGGGGGGUGGUCCUGCCCGUAGUGCUGUCCCUUCCUUGCCCCAGCCUCACUGCAUUCCCAGGGAAGUUUGUGUUGAUCUGGAGCACUGGCUUCCUGGCUUGGUCAGGCUGGCCUUGAAUGGGCCUUAACUGACCUAGGUCUGCUUCUCAUGAACGGGAUCUGCUAUGAUGAGUUGCCCCAGCGCCCUAGGUUUAACUUAUAUUGGGUAGGAUGCUCUUGGUUUCCACUGUUUGUUUAUAUAAUGUGGUCAUCUGCCCACUUACCUAGAGUUGGUGGGGGGACAUUACAGAGACCCCAUGGCUGGGAACCUUUGAUUAUAUACAGGGAUACCAGUCAAAUAACAAAAUAUGAAUUCCUACUUCAUGUCAGGCACCUCAGUAGGCAGAGAAAGCCAGAAUCCUGUGCUCAUGGAGAAGACUGUCGACAAAAGACAGAUGAAGAAACUGAGGCUCAGAAAGGUGAAGAGCCCUAUCCAAGGUCACUCAGCUAACAUGUGGCAGAAUGAGGACUUGAACUCUAGUCUGCAUGAUUCAAAAGCCAGGCAGUGAGGAGGCUGCUGUCAGUCAUGGCAAGAAGUGGUGGUGGCAUCAUUGGAUACAGAGGUAGAUGUGCAGGCCCAAGAGGGACCCUGAAGAGAGAACUAACAGGACUCAGUGAGCACUGCUGAGGCAAAGGAGGAGGAGGAACCAGACUCCAGGUUUCUGCCUGGAUCAACUGGAUGGACAGUGAUCCAUCCAGUUGGAUCAUUUACUAAGAUGGAGAAUGGAGAGGAGUAGGUUUAGGGGGAAAAAUCAUCUAAAUUUGAUAUUCUACUUCAGUUAAAAAAAAAAAAAAGAUUGGUUGAUUAAAUGAAAAUAAAACAGGGAUAAUUCCAUUCUAGAAACUCCCUCUCUUCAUGCUUCCUCAAUCCCAGUGUUUUCUACACUCAUUUGUUGCCCCUUCCUUCUAGUUUUCUAAAGCACCCCAAUUCUUUUCUGAUCCGUGGGCCCUCUAAUAACCAAACCCCAAGCAGAUCAGAACUGGGAGGACCACCAAGAGAACGCUGUCCUUGGCCACACCAUCUGCUCCCUCAGCAGUGGCCCUCUGGCCACCCCAUGCUUUGUCCGGGUCUCCUGAUGCUCCCUUCUCUGCAGAGGCUCUCUGCCAGGGGAGGAGCUGUUCCUAUGCCUGAGCUCCUCGGGGUGGAGUUCCCCCCGACCCCCGCAUCCUCCUAGUACCUAGAACAUCUGGUGUGUGCACAGCCUCUGCAGUCACACGGGGCCCCACACUCAGAAGGACCUUGCCCUCGGUUUAAUGCACUUCUGUUGCAGUUUUGAAAUUCCUACUAUAUUUAACAAGAGGCCCCAUAUUUUCAUUUUGGACUGGGCCCUGCAAAUUCUGUAGCUGGUCCUGUCCAUGUGUCUGCAUUGUAAUGAUGCAAGACACUGAGUGGUAGCCUUUCCCAUCUGUGGGGAUGAACUUCUUUUCCAGCUAGGAAGACCCACUGUUUUAAAUCAGAGGGAAAUAAAGCAAAAAAGAGCUCACUUCCUUUGUUUCUAUGAAAUACAGUUUUAUGUGCAGUUUUAUGUUUCUUCAUGGGUAAUAACUUAGGAGGGAACCUUGGGAACAGAAUACAAAAGUAACAAAUUAUGGGCCAUUAACUGUGGUUAAUUGUUUCUUUAUAGCUUAGAGUGGAGGCACAUUUGGGUUGCUUUGGCACUCACAGUUACAGGUAGGGAAAGGCGGUCUACUUAAAUAUAACCUAGGGGGACUUCCCUGGUGGUCCAGUGGUUAAGAAUCUGCCUUCCAAUGCAGGGGACAUAGGUUCGAUCCCUGGUCGGGGAACUAAUAUCCCACAUGCUGCGGGGCAACUAAGCCCGUGUGCCGCAACUACUGAGCACGUGAGCCACAACUAGAGAGGCCCAUGAGCCACAACUAUAGAGCCUGUGUGCCACAACUAGAGAAAAGCCUGCACGCUGCAACUAAGACCCAACACAGCCAAAAAUAAAUAAAUAAAUAAAUAAAACCUAGGGCCCCUCAGGAGGUGGAGGGAGAGGCAGCUGAGUGAUGACCCCAGCCUUGCUUCCGAAGCCAAAACUGCCAUCAAGGCCUCACCUCCAGUUAAAGUAUUUCUCUCACAAGCCUCAUUACUGAGCAACUAUGGACCCCUUACCUGAGAUCCUCUCAGCUCUGCAGGUGUGGAGGUGGUCUACGUGCUGUCUGGGCAUCCUGCUGCAGCAGCCUUUGGGGUGUAACUCAUACUUGUCCCCAGUUAGUUGGUGUCAUCUGCCACUCAGGCUCCAAACAGCUGCAGAAGAUCCUUGCUCACUUUAGUAAACACCUGUUUUAAAAAAAAAAUUGAACUCAAAAAAUGUUUGGACUCCUUGCUAAAGAAAGGUGCAGAAAUGCUCCGCCAGCUAUCAUCAUAGGCUUUCCCGUCCUAACGAGCUAAUGGAUGAAGCACUCAGACCACUGAGUGAGAAGUCCUCCAGUGUCAUUCACCUACAGUAGUACCACCAAAGACUGGACAAGCACAGCACACAGAAAAUAAAAUCCACCCCCAAUUCCUUUUCUCAGAGACAUAGCCCAUAUCAAUCCAAACUGACUGUUGAAGGCUUUUUGGAAUGUACUAGGUCAUCCCAUUUACACUGUUGAGCUGAUCAUAUAAUUCAGCUGUCCUGCCCUGGAAGCUUGGCUGACCUCCUUUGAUUCACAAAAUACAACCCAGAUUCCUUGGUCUGACUGACAUCAGCUGGCCUCCCAGGUACAUUCAGCUAUUCUUGACCCCAUGGACUUUCUCCCCUUAACUCUUCUCAUCUGUUUCCUCUCCCUCAACUUUCUAUUAUUGAGUGCCUGUCCUUGCUUGGUCUGGGGGACACAAAAGGAGGAAAACAGGCACAGUCCCUAGCCUGGGCUUUCAGUCUAGUGAAUCCAUGAAUUAUGCAAACCUUCAUGGCAAACAGUGAGGAGGACUGUGAAGGAAGGUGGUGGGGCUCUGAGCGCCCCCAUCAGGGGUUUGGUCUAGUUUGGGCAUCAGGAAAGGUUUCCUUGAGCAGUGUGAUUUCUGUGGAAAGAGAGAGGUGGUAACUAGGCACCAACCAGCGUGCAGGGGAGGCUGUGAGGAGGGCACACUCAAGGCCAGGUUGGCAGGGCAGUGGUCCUGGAAGCAAGGCCCUUUAGAGGGAAGCAUUGAAAGGCCAGUGGGGCUGGCGUGCAGGGGGCACAGGGGGAUGUGAGCUCGGGUCAGAUAAGCUGAGCCUGAGGCUGAAGAGUGAGGUCUUUGUCCCCAGAGCCGUGGGAAGCCUCUGAAGGAUUUUCAGUAGGGGGAACACCAGAGCUGUAUUUUUAAGAGCCUUGUGGAGGAGGUACAGGGCCAUCGUGCUCCGGGUGAGAAGGGAGCAGCAGUGCAAUAAAUAAAAGUGUCUGGGCUGCAGAGAGGGGAGAAGCACACAGGAAGGACAACAGUGUCACCUGCUGAGGGUGUGUGUGUCCCGGGGAAGUCGGGGGGUUAGUUCUGAAGAAGGCUCUCCAAAUGUCGUGCUCAGAGGGAAGUGUGGGCUGGGGUUGGACGUGUGAGAGUCGAGGCAGAGCGAUGGAACGGAAGCAGUGGAUGGGAAGGAGCUCCGCCCGAGAGAGAACAGGCGGCCAAGGACUGAGCUAAAGGCCAGGGAGAAGAAAUGAGCUGCCAAAGGGGGCAGGAAGGAAAAGAAAAAGGAAAACGAAGGCAAUAUGGUGCCAAACAAUAGGGGAGAAAGUAUUUCAGGAAGCACCAGCCCUGAAGGAUAAAUAAAAGCCAGCCCCACAGAGAGAAGGGGAAAAGAAGGGCAGAGAGAAGAAGGUCACAAUCCAGAAGGCAGAGCGCCCUGAGUUCUGGGAGCUGGAGCUCGGAUGUAGGCAGAACUGGAAGGGGGAGAGGAGGCGUGAAGGCAGGUGGAUCAAGAGGGGCCUCAGUAAGGAGUUUGGACACAAUCCUGAGGGUCAGCGGAGAGUCUGGUUUUGCCUGUCUUUUUAAUUAGAAACAAAAUGCAUGCUCCUUGUAAAUAAAACAAGACGACCACCCGCCACCAAAACAAACUCUAGCAACAAAGAAAUGUAUAUGUUAACAAGUGAAAGUUCCUCUGCCAAAUCCCCCCUCCUCAGCUAGCACUUUGGUGUUAUCAUUCCAGACCUCUUCCUGCCACUCACAAACUUCAUUAGUUUUGUGAAAACAGGAUUAUGCUGCCUAUAAUUUCUGUAACUUCCCUUACUGAAUUAGCAGUAAUCUUGAGUUUCCUUCUGGGUGGUUACACGCAGAUGUGCCCACCGGUUUGAAUGGCUGUACAGUCCUCCACAGCCCAGAUAUACUUGUAUCCUAGGAUGCUGAUCUAUUUUCUUGAACCUAAAAUGGCUACUGAGGUGCCUAAGAAGAGGAGUAUUCCCUAGGGGCACUAAGUCCCAGUCUGGUUCUGCCAUUAAGUACCUGGCUCUGGGGAGGACACGGCCCCUACUGGGCCUCAGUUUCCUCAUCCACUGUGUGCCAGGCACUAUUAUCUCAUAAAACACGAGUGUUAAUAUUUCUCAUCGAUGAAGGGCUUUAGGUAGAGGAAUGUAAUGAUCAGAUUUGUGCUUCAGAAAGAUCACUCGGGCUGCAGUAUGAAAAAUUACUUCUCUUUCCUCUCAUCCAUAUUUUUAAAAAAAUCUUACCACUCUUUCAAGGCCUAGUUCAAAUUUUCCCUCUUUCAGAAGUUUCCUCUCCAUCAUGCCCUACCUCUUAAUUGGAAUUCUCCUCUACCUGGUUCUCCCCCUAAAACAUAAAACCCCUUGAAAUUGAGAAUCAUAUUUUUCAUCCUCACAUGCUCCACAGGAAUAGGUCUAUAAGAGGACUUAAUAAAUCUUUGCAGAAUUGUCCAUGCACUAAAAAAAUCAUUUUGGUGAGACAAAAGAAGGAAUAAAUGAGCCACACAAUACUUGUUUGGGACUCAAGCCUUCGUUUGAUAAGGAGUUUAUCCACAAGCCUCAAGAUGUGUAUGAUUAAGCACUGCAGGAGGUAUUUUCCUGGCUCUGAAAGGUUCUGACCUGCCCCACCUGGAGUGCUGACGUUGAAUAAGACUGUCUGGGAAAGAGGCACUAAGGCCAGCCUGGUUUAUUGUCACAGGGCUUUAAUAAUAUCCUGCAACUCUGAAGCCUGAGAGCUUCCUUUUCACCUUGCACAAUACAUUGAGAGCUUUGCCUUCACUGGACUAUUGCUAUAUAGGGAUGAGUGACAGUGACUUGCUUUUUCUUUUCUUUUGCAAGUUUUGCCCAUUAAAUACAGUUUUCUUAGAUCCAUGCAGUUUAGAAUUAUGGAGAUAAAAAGCUUAUAUUGAACACCUAUUCUGUGCUUGAAGAUCAGUUCUUCUGUUUCAUAAUUUAAAAUAACUCAGUAUAAAAACAGAAAUAAACAAAAAGGACCUAAUCAAACUUACAAGCUUUUGCACACCAAAGGAAACCAUAAACAAAACGAAAAGACACCCAAAGAAUGGAAGAAAAUAUUUGCAAAUGAAGCGACCAACAAGGGAUUAAUCUCCAAAAUAUACAAACAGCUCAUGCAGCUCAAUAUCAAAAAAAACAAACAACCCAAUCAAAAAAUGGGCAGAAGAUCUAAAUAGACAUUUCUCCAAAGAAGACAUACAGAUGGCCAAGAGGCACAUGAAAAGAUGCUCAACAUCGCUAAUUAUUAGAGAAAUGCACAUCAAAACUACAAUGAGGUACCACCUCACACUGGUCAGAAUGGCCAUGAUUAAAAAGUCUACAAAUAAGAAAUGCUGGAGAGGGUGUAGAGAAAAGGGAACUCUCUUACACUGUUGGUGGGAAUGUAAACUGGUACAGCCACUCUGGAGAACAGUAUGCCGGUUCCUUAAAAAAUUGAAAAUAGAGUUGCCAUAUGAUCUAGCAAUCCCACUCCUGGGCAUAUAUCUGGAGAAAAACGUAAUUCGAAAAGAUACAUGCACCCCAAUGUUCAUUGCAGCACUAUUUACAAUAACCAAUACAUGGAAGCAACCUAAAUGUCCAUCAGCAGAGGAAUGGAUAAAGAAGAUGUACAUAUAUACAAUGGAAUAUUACUCAGCCAUAAGAAAGAGUGAAAUGCCAUUUGCAGCAACAUGGAUGGACCUAGAGAUUAUCAUACUAAGUGAAGUCAGACAGAGAAAGACAAAUAUCCUAUGAUAUCACUUAUAUGUGGGAUCUAAAAAAAUGAUACAAAUGAACUUAUUUACAAAACAGAAACAGAUUCACAGACUUUGAAAACAAACUUAUGGUUACCAAAGGGGAAAGAUGGGGAGAAGAAUAAAUUAGUUUGGGAUUAACAUAUACACACUACUAUAUGUAAAAUAAUCAACAAGGACCUAUUGUAUAGCACAGGGAACUCUACUCAAUGUGUAAUAACCUAUAUGGGAAAAGAAUCUGAAAAAGAAUGGAUAUAUGCAUAUGCAUAGCUGAAUCACUUUGUACACCUGAAACUAACACAUUGUAAAUCAGCUAUACUCUAAUAUAAAAUAAAAAGUAAAUUAAAAAAAUAACAUAGAUAAAAAGUCAUUUACACAAAAUAUCUUAUCAUCUAAGGAAAGGCUGGAAAUUUUCUGUGACUUCUAUAGAGUCUAUAACCAAGAACAGUAAGCCUAAGUAAUCCAGAGAUUUCUGGAUUUAAUUUAAAAAAGAAUUUCACUGGGUAUAAGUUAAAAAUUAUUCUGAAAACAGGUACCUGUCUCCGGGAGUGUGGUGGGGUCAGGGAUUCACUGAGAAGGACCACGAGAAAAACUCUGGAGUGAUAGUCAUAUUUUACAAUUCUAUAUGGGAUACACAUGUGAACAUAUUUGUCAAAAUUCACCAAAUGGUGUACUUACAACUUGUCUACUUCACUGUACAUGAAUUUUUUAAAUGAAAGCAGCCCUUGUCUUCUAGAGAGCUCAUUCUCCUGACAGGACUUAUUUUUUUUUAAGACAAUUUUUUUAGAGAAGGUUUUUUUUGUUUUUAAUUAAUUUAUUUAUUUAUUUAUUUAUUUUUGGCUGCGUUGGGUCUUCGUUGCUGCGUGCGGGCUUUCUCUAGUUGCGGUGAGCGGGGGUGACUUCGUUGCAGUGCACGGGCUUCUCAUUGCGGUGGCUUCUCUUGUUGUGGAGCACAGGCUCUAGGUGCGUGGGCUUCAGUAGUUGUGACGCGUUGGCUCAGUAGUUGCGGUGCGCAGGCUCCAGGGCGCGCGGGCUCAGUAGUUGUGGCUCGUGGGCUCUAGAGCACAGGCUCAAUAGUUGUGGCAUACAGGUUUAGCUGCUCUGCAGCCUGUGGGAUCUUCCUGGACCAGGGAUCGAACCCACGUCCCCUGCAUUGGCAGGCGGAUUCUUAACCACUGCGCCACCAGGGAAGUCCCUAGAGCAGUUUUAGGUUCACAGCAAAAUUGAGAAGAACUGACAGAGAUUUCCCAUAUAUUCCCUACCCCCACAUAUGCUCAGCCUGCCCCAUUAUCAACAUCACUCACUAGAGUAGUUCAUUUGUUAUAACUGAUGAACCUACAUUGACAUAUCAUAAUUGCCCAAAGUCUAUGGUUUACACUAGGGUUUACUUUUGGUUUUGUAUAUUCUAUGGGUUUGGGCAAAUAUAUAAUGACAUACCAGGGUUGUAGUAUCAUACAGAACAGUUUCACCGCACUAAAAAUCCUCUGUGCUCUGCCUAUUCAUCCUUCCCUCCCCUCUAACCUCUGGCAACCACUAAUCUUUUUACUAUCUCCAUAGCUUUGCGUUUUCCAGAAUGUCAUACUGUUGGAAUCAUACAGUAUGUAGCCUUUUCAGAUUGGCUUCUUUCACUUAGUAAUAUGCAUUUAAGGUUCCUUCAUUUUUUUUUCAUGGCUUGAAAUGCAUUUCUUUUUAGUGCUGAAAAAUAAUCCAUUGUCUGUAGGUACUACAGUUCAUUUAUCCAUUCAUCUAAUGAAGGGCAUCUUGGUUGCUUCCAAGUUUUGGCAAUUAUGAAUAAAGCUGCUAUAAACAUCCAUGUGCAGGUUUUUAUGUGGACAUAGUUUUCGACUCCUUUGGGUAACCAUAUAUGAAGUUUACCUGGAAAAAAAAAAAACAACCCUCUACACAAACAUUAAAUUCUAGUUAAACGUAUGCAUGCUGAAGCAUUAAGGAGUGUAGUGUAUUUAUGUCUGCAACUUACUUUGAAAUGCAUAAAAAAAUCAUUUAUGGAUGGAUAGAGGGAUGGAUAGGUAGACAGAUAUAUGAUAAAGCAAUAUAGUAAAAUGUAAAUUGUAAAAUCUAGAUGAUGAGUAUAUUUGUUUUUACCAUAAAAUUCUUUCAACUCUCUUGUAUGUUUGAAAUUUUUCAUUAAAAAAUGUUGGAAAAAAUUA